Molecule: non-coding RNA, 90 nt
Filed under: uncultured Clostridium sp.
Lineage: Bacteria; Bacillati; Bacillota; Clostridia; Eubacteriales; Clostridiaceae
Description: TPP riboswitch (THI element)
Rfam family: TPP riboswitch aptamer (THI element)
About the family: Vitamin B(1) in its active form thiamin pyrophosphate (TPP) is an essential coenzyme that is synthesised by coupling of pyrimidine and thiazole moieties in bacteria. The previously detected thiamin-regulatory element, thi box was extended, resulting in a new, highly conserved RNA secondary structure, the THI element, which is widely distributed in eubacteria and also occurs in some archaea.
Source: RNAcentral
UUUAGCUAGGGGUGCCUAAACGCUGAGAGAAGCAAUAAUUGCUUUAACCCUUGAACCUGAUGUGGAUAAUGCCAUCGAAGGAAAGCUUAA